RNAcentral lists this long non-coding RNA (449 nucleotides) under Rhipicephalus microplus (southern cattle tick). Its description in RNAcentral is "uncharacterized LOC119170530". The record is from RNAcentral. Lineage: Eukaryota; Metazoa; Arthropoda; Arachnida; Ixodida; Ixodidae.
AUUCAGGCCAGGCCAAGCAGUUUUGGCUUGGUUGGUUGAGCUGAGCGAAGCCGGGCCAAGCUGAGUACAAUCCACUUUGUGUCAGGCCCGCGUUACCCACGUGCGCGCUGAGCCCGUUGACUGUCAUAUUUGGUUCGAUAUAAUGUUCGCGCUAGUUCGCUUUCUAGAUAGUGACCAUGCACAUGACACUCGUAGAUAUGUUGUGCGAGUGGAGGAUAUCCAUGAUUUUCAUCCGAAGCACGAGACGGAUUUCGAUGGCAAGGCAGUGUAUGUCGUUCACUGGGAGGAUGAAGCAAACGGUGACGACACGGGUGAAUAUAAAGCCCAGAUACUUCGACUUGGCGCCACAGAGAAAGAAGCUCGGGAAUCGCCAAAAAGAAUUCCGAUCCCUAAAAUUGCAGUUGAGGAAGGCUCGGACGUUGAAGGAGCUGUGACCAAGAAGGCCACUG